GAUGAACGCUGGCGGCGUGCCUAAUACAUGCAAGUCGAGCGAACAGACGAGGAGCUUGCUCCUCUGACGUUAGCGGCGGACGGGUGAGUAACACGUGGAUAACCUACCUAUAAGACUGGGAUAACUUCGGGAAACCGGAGCUAAUACCGGAUAAUAUAUUGAACCGCAUGGUUCAAUAGUGAAAGACGGUUUUGCUGUCACUUAUAGAUGGAUCCGCGCCGCAUUAGCUAGUUGGUAAGGUAACGGCUUACCAAGGCAACGAUGCGUAGCCGACCUGAGGGGGUGGUAGGCCACACUGGAACUGAGACACGGUCCAGACUCCUACGGGAGGCAGCAGUAGGGAAUCUUCCGCAAUGGGCGAAAGCAUGACGGAGCAACGGCGCGUGAGUGAUGAAGGUCUUCGGAUCGUAAAACUCUGUUAUUAGGGAAGAACAAAUGUGUAAGUAACUAUGCACGUAGUGACGGUAACUAAUCAGAAAGCCACGGCUAACUACGUG
Molecule: ribosomal RNA, 497 nt
Filed under: uncultured bacterium
Lineage: Bacteria
Description: partial 16S ribosomal RNA
Rfam family: Bacterial small subunit ribosomal RNA
Source: RNAcentral